RNAcentral lists this unclassified non-coding RNA (337 nucleotides) under soil metagenome. Its description in RNAcentral is "partial contains 5.8S ribosomal RNA, internal transcribed spacer 2, and large subunit ribosomal RNA". The stretch from base 2 to 121 matches the Rfam family "5.8S ribosomal RNA", at positions 35 to 154 of the family's 154-position model. The record is from RNAcentral.
GGAUGAAGAACGUAGCGAAAUGCGAUAAGUAAUGUGAAUUGCAGAAUUCAGUGAAUCAUCGAAUCUUUGAACGCACAUUGCGCCCGCCAGUAUUCUGGCGGGCAUGCCUGUUCGAGCGUCAUUUCAACCAUCAAGCCCCAGGCUUGUGUUGGGGACCUGCGGCUGCCGCAGGCCCUGAAAACCAGUGGCGGGCUCGCUGUCACACCGGGCGUAGUAGAUUUUAUCUCGCUCAGGGCGUGCUGCGGGUCCCGGCCGUUAAAAGCCUUUUUUUACCCAAGGUUGACCUCGGAUCAGGUAGGAAGACCCGCUGAACUUAAGCAUAUCAAUAAGCGGAGGA